RNAcentral lists this Y RNA (103 nucleotides) under Cavia aperea (Brazilian guinea pig). RNAcentral's name for it is "Y RNA (ENSCAPG00000005372.1)". It matches the Rfam family "Y RNA". From Rfam's summary of the family: Y RNAs are components of the Ro ribonucleoprotein particle (Ro RNP), in association with Ro60 and La proteins. The Y RNAs and Ro60 and La proteins are well conserved, but the function of the Ro RNP is not known. Lineage: Eukaryota; Metazoa; Chordata; Mammalia; Rodentia; Caviidae. The record is from RNAcentral.
GGCUGGUACGAUGGCAGUGGGUUAUCAGAACUUAUUAACAUUAGUGUCACUAACGUUGGUAUACUACCCCCCGCCCCCCACUGCUAAAUUUGACUGGCUUAAA